This 1679-nucleotide long non-coding RNA is filed under the name Ananas comosus (pineapple). RNAcentral's name for it is "long non-coding RNA (ACOM_LNC022571)". The record is from RNAcentral. Lineage: Eukaryota; Viridiplantae; Streptophyta; Magnoliopsida; Poales; Bromeliaceae.
UUAUUAUUAUCUCUAUAGAGUAUGUUUCUUGUCCUUUUGAAAGUAUAGAGAUUUUCGUAUUUAUAAGUUUUUUUCGUUGAUAGAACAUUUGAUUCGAUGAUCGACUCCGUUAGACAUAUCUACGCUGUUAAAACUAUCUAGAAACCAAACUUUAUAAUUUUUCGACAUUAUUUAUCAAUUGAUCAAGAGGUCUCCAAAAUAACUAUUUUAACAGUCGAUGUGGCACGUUUUUAAGUUCAACAAUGUAAAACAAUUCAAAUUACAUGAAACUUUAAUAAAAAAUUCUAUUUAAUAUUAAUAGCAAGAUCAAUACUUCUGAUUUAAAAUUUGAGUCUUUUAUCAUUAUUUUUUAUGAAAUUUUUAUUUUCAACCGUUCAUUUUGAGGCUACUCGUUCACUAGGCAAAUAAAGUCAAAAAAUUAUAAAAUUUGGUUUCUAAAUAGUUCCGAUGGCUAGAUCAUGUCUAACGGAAUCGAUCAUCGAAUCAAAUGUCCCAUUAUCGAAAACAACCUAUAAGCACGGAUGCCCUCGUAUUUUCGUAAGUAUAGGAGCCUAGUUCUAUAUAUGUAGAGAGAGCGAGAAAGAGAGAGGCAUAUUACUAUAUUUUCAAAAGCACGAAGGUUUCUAUACUUUUAAAUUAUUUUCGAUAAUGAGACAUCAGAUGUGGCGAUCGACUUUAUUAGACAUGAUCUACUGUAUCGGAAUUAUUUAGAAAUCAAAUUUUAUAAUUUUUUAAGUUCGUCUAGCUAGUGAAUGAGUAGCCUCAAAAUGAAUGGCUGUAAAUAAAAAUAUAAUAGAAGUCAUAUCGGAAGUAUUGACAUUGCUCUCGAUAGUAAGUAGAAUUUUAUAUUAAAAUUUUAUCUAAUUUGGAUUGCUUCUACUCCUAGUCUGUGCCUAAUGAAUUCUUAAUGAUCUAGUGAGCACCCUCGUCUGUGUCGAUACCGUAUCCAACAACCAUUUGGGUACUAGUAGUGGUACCUUAAAACACCACCAAAUAGGGAUUGUAUUGUAAAAACCGACAUGGCGACAAUAGUAAAGAUUUUUUUCCUGUUAAAAAAUGCUCAUAGACAGUAACUUAAUACACAUUUCAUAUUACACGGGAUUCAUUUAAAAUAUCAACCAAUAGCCAUGCUGUAAGGACUGAGAUUUUUGCUGUACAGAUAAACUCUGUGUUGAUAAUGUUUUUGUGUGUAAUUUAAUUACAUAAAUACUCGUCAAGUUUCAGGAGAAAACGAGUUAGGAUGGAGGAGUUACGCAAACUUUAGUAAUGACUUAAAGUGAAUAGUAACUCCGGUUUUCUGGAGAAGCCAACGAGUGGAGAUGGCUUCUGGUGCGUAUUGGACUCCAAUUAUAGCGAUCCAAUAGCUCGUUUCGAACAGUUCAGCUAUUUCGGAACCAAUGGUGCUGACGGAUUUUAGAUUUGAUGCACAAUUUUCGAGAAAAAUGGGAGUUUAUUGGAUUUACACAUAUAUUUAGGUGAGAUUUUGGAAAAUUGGAGAGAGGUUAGGUUUUGUCAAAAAUCUGUGAUCAAAUUAGGUGAAACGAAAUGGUGGAUUCUAUGCCCCAGUCGUGCUGAACGCGCUGGCAUGAUCCGAUCGAAAAUCCGACGGACGGAUCUCUGGGAAUCUUGAAAAGUUCGCUGAGGGGUCGAAUUUGGCAAAACGAAAAAUCUGAGAAAAU